GACAGAGGGUGCAGACGUUGCUCGGAAUUACUGGGCGUAAAGCGCGUGUAGGUGGAUUGGUGUGUCAGAUGUGAAAGCCCUGGGCUCAACCCAGGAACUGCACCUGAAACUACCAGUCUUGAGUGGUGGAGAGGGAAGUGGAAUUCCUGGUGUAGAGGUGAAAUUCGUAGAUAUCAGGAGGAACACCAGUGGCGAAGGCGGCUUCCUGGACACUAACUGACGCUGAGACGCGAAAGCGUGGGGAGCAAACAGG
Molecule: ribosomal RNA, 253 nt
Filed under: uncultured bacterium
Lineage: Bacteria
Description: partial 16S ribosomal RNA
Rfam family: Bacterial small subunit ribosomal RNA
Source: RNAcentral